UCAAUGCCAAUGUCGUUACUUCAAUCAGAAGCGUCUAACACCCCCCCCCCCCUUUAUUUGGCCUCAACCCUAAGGGGCCAAAUAAAGGGGGGGGGGGCCAAAU
Molecule: microRNA precursor, 103 nt
Filed under: Haemonchus contortus (barber pole worm)
Lineage: Eukaryota; Metazoa; Nematoda; Chromadorea; Rhabditida; Trichostrongylidae
Description: microRNA hco-mir-2159 precursor
Source: miRBase by way of RNAcentral